This is a long non-coding RNA of Homarus americanus (American lobster), 199 nucleotides long. RefSeq lists it as uncharacterized. The record is from RefSeq and is a predicted model, not a curated record. NCBI's taxonomy places the organism in Eukaryota, Metazoa, Arthropoda, Malacostraca, Decapoda, Nephropidae. The transcript has 2 exons.
GGGAGCUGGUGGUGCCUGCACGCGCCCUGCUCAUCUCCCACACUCACUCACGCGCGCCAACCAGCCAGCCUGGCCGACCGCCUCUCCCCGUCAUCAUCACACUCUCCCUCCAACGCUCGUGCUGCCAGGUAAUAUCCAGUGAUAACCGGAGAAUAUUACCAGUGUAAGAGAAUACUGAUAAUUAAUUAAUCACGAGUGA